This 465-nucleotide ribosomal RNA is filed under the name uncultured bacterium. RNAcentral describes it as "bacterial SSU rRNA". It matches the Rfam family "Bacterial small subunit ribosomal RNA", at positions 198 to 644 of the family's 1533-position model. The record is from RNAcentral.
GGAGGAAAGUAGGGGAUCGCAAGACCUUGCGCUCUUGGAGCGGCCGAUGCCUGAUUAGCUAGUUGGUGAGGUAAAGGCUUACCAAGGCGACGAUCAGUAGCUGGUCUGAGAGGACGACCAGCCACACUGGGACUGAGACACGGCCCAGACUCCUACGGGAGGCAGCAGUGGGGAAUUUUGGACAAUGGGGGAAACCCUGAUCCAGCCAUGCCGCGUGAGUGAAGAAGGCCUUCGGGUUGUAAAGCUCUUUCAGCCGGAACGAAACGGUCACGGCUAAUACCUGUGACUACUGACGGUACCGGAAGAAGAAGCACCGGCUAACUACGUGCCAGCAGCCGCGGUAAUACGUAGGGUGCAAGCGUUAAUCGGAAUUACUGGGCGUAAAGCGUGCGCAGGCGGUUUUGUAAGUCAGAUGUGAAAUCCCCGGGCUUAACCUGGGAACUGCGUUUGAAACUACAAGGCUAG